This 468-nucleotide ribosomal RNA is filed under the name uncultured bacterium. RNAcentral's name for it is "partial 16S ribosomal RNA". It matches the Rfam family "Bacterial small subunit ribosomal RNA", at positions 28 to 506 of the family's 1533-position model. The record is from RNAcentral.
GACGAACGCUGGCGGCGUGCUUAACACAUGCAAGUCGAACGGAAAGGCCCUGCUUUUGUUGGGUGCUCGAGUGGCGAACGGGUGAGUAACACGUGAGUAACCUGCCCUGGACGUUGGGAUAACUUCAGGAAACUGGGGCUAAUACCGACUAGGAGCUCCUGCUGCAUGGGGGGGGUUGGAAAGCGUCGGCUGUUGGGGAUGGACUGGUGGGGUACUAGCUUGUUGGUGGGGGAGUGGCUUACCAAGGCUUUGAUGGGUAGACGGCCUGAGAGGGUGACCGACGACAUUGGGACUGAGGUACGGCCGAGGCUCGUACGGGAGGCAGAAGUGGGGAAUCUUGAACCAUGGGUGGAAGCCUGAUGAAGCAACGCCGCGUGCGGGAAGACGGCCUUCGGGUUGUAGACAGCCUUUGCCUGUGACGCCGGGGGAGAUACGGGAAUGGGUAGAGAAGGCACCGCCAAAUUACGG